RNAcentral lists this ribosomal RNA (656 nucleotides) under uncultured bacterium. RNAcentral's name for it is "bacterial SSU rRNA". It matches the Rfam family "Bacterial small subunit ribosomal RNA", at positions 8 to 664 of the family's 1533-position model. The record is from RNAcentral.
AGAGUUUGAUCCUGGCUCAGGAUGAACGCUGGCGGCGUGCUUAACACAUGCAAGUCGAACGAAGCACUUAAUGAGAUUUCUUCGGAAUGAUUAUUUUGUGACUGAGUGGCGGACGGGUGAGUAACGCGUGGGUAACCUGCCCCAGACCGGGGGAUAACAGUCGGAAACGACUGCUAAUACCGCAUAAGCGCACAGUGCCGCAUGGCACGGUGUGAAAAACUCCGGUGGUCUGGGAUGGACCCGCGUCCGAUUAGUUAGUUGGCGGGGUAACGGCCCACCAAGACCGCGAUCGGUAGCCGACCUGAGAGGGUGACCGGCCACAUUGGGACUGAGACACGGCCCAGACUCCUACGGGAGGCAGCAGUGGGGAAUAUUGCACAAUGGAGGAAACUCUGAUGCAGCGACGCCGCGUGAGCGAAGAAGUAUUUCGGUAUGUAAAGCUCUGUCAGCAGGGAAGAUAAUGACGGUACCUGACCAAGAAGCCCCGGCUAACUACGUGCCAGCAGCCGCGGUAAUACGUAGGGGGCAAGCGUUAUCCGGAUUUACUGGGUGUAAAGGGAGUGUAGGUGGCUGCGCAAGUCAGGAGUGAAAGCCCGGGGCUCAACCCCGGGACUGCUCUUGAAACUGUCAAACUAGAGUACAGGAGAGGAAAGCGG